UUAUCUCUGUAGAGUCUGCAUAUCAAUAAGCGGAGGAAAAGAAACUAACAAGGAUUCCCUUAGUAACGGCGAGUGAAGCGGGAAGAGCUCAAAUUUGAAAUCUUCAAGGUUCUACCUUGACGAAUUGUAGUUUAAAGAAGUGUUUUCUGUUAGAUGAGUAGCUAAAAGUUCCUUGGAAUAGGGACAUCAUAGAGGGUGAGAAUCCCGUAUUUGGUUACAUUCAUUCUAGCUUUGUGAUACACUUUCAAAGAGUCGGAUUGUUUGGGAAUGCAGUCCAAAAUGGGUGGUAAAUUUCAUCUAAAGCUAAAUAUUGGCGAGAGACCGAUAGCGAACAAGUACCGUGAGGGAAAGAUGAAAAGAACUUUGAAAAGAGAGUUAAACAGUACGUGAAAUUGUCAAAAGGGAAGCGUUUGACACCAGUGUUGUUUUUCUCGAAAAAUCAAUUAACGAAUGGCUAGGAUUCUGUGUUGUAUUGACCUUAUCAGCUUUCUGCACUCUUUUUCUAGUCUUUCUUAAUGCACUUUUCGUUUAACAAGUCAACAUCAAUUUCUCUUGUUGUAAAAGAGUAUUCGGAAGGUGGCUUUCUUUUCGGAGAAAGUGUUUAUAGCCCUAUACUUCUACAAUCGGAGAGAUUGAGGUCUGCAGCGUAGAUCCUUCGGGGUUAGAUACACUUGUGCUAAGUUGUAGCUUUUCAUAGACAACUUGUUGACUAUGUUUAGUCAUGCGGCUUACUCGCUUGUGCUAUUUUACCUACGCUUAGGAUGUUGAAGAUGUAGCACAUCAU
Molecule: ribosomal RNA, 784 nt
Filed under: uncultured Neocallimastigales
Lineage: Eukaryota; Fungi; Neocallimastigomycota; Neocallimastigomycetes; Neocallimastigales
Description: partial large subunit ribosomal RNA
Rfam family: Eukaryotic large subunit ribosomal RNA
Source: RNAcentral